UCUAACUAUAAUCACGGAUAUUCAAUAGAUUCCAUUUUACCAAGCUCUUUCAUAUGCUGAUUUCUCAUAUGGCGACGCGCGCAUCUCACGUAGUCGAUAACAUUCUGCAAUUAUUUCCGGGCCAGUCCGGACUCUUUGGUGGGUACAAGAAUUUACUCGAGUUUGGCGGUCUUUAACAGUAUCUCGUCGUGCUCUUGUUAAAGAAUGAAAUAUGUUUCACAUUUAUUCGUGUUUUGUGUUACAACAUCCAUUAAAUAAAUUUUCUCGGCAAAAAUCGCAAGCGAGAAAAUGCAUCUUUUUGUAAUGUACAAUAAAUAAAUAAAAUGUGUUAAUUUA
Molecule: long non-coding RNA, 336 nt
Organism: Wasmannia auropunctata (little fire ant)
Lineage: Eukaryota; Metazoa; Arthropoda; Insecta; Hymenoptera; Formicidae
Exons: 2
Source: RefSeq, a predicted model, not a curated record